AUGGGGUCUCUUCUGGUCCGGUCAAACAGAAGCAGCUGUGCGAGCCUGGAUGUCCAGUGUGGGUCGAGUGAGAGCGAGUACACUGCCGUCGCCUCCUCUGCUCCCUAUAAACACCGGAGCUUCAAAAUGCUUCACUCGGGACUAAGGGACACCCGGGAGCUAUCACACAUUUCUCUUCAUCAUGUAUCAUGUGUGGAUGUCUGCAUCAGGCGGCAACUUUCUCUUCAUCAUGUGUGGAUGUCUGCAUCAGGCGGCACCUUUCUCUUCAUCAUGUGUGGAUGUCUGCAUCAGGCGGCACCUUUCUCUUCAUCAUGUGUGGAUGUCUGCAUCGAGAGACUUCUGGCUAGAUUUCCUGGCCACGCCCAUCUUUGGCUGGUCACGAUCGCCAUUCUGGUGGCCGUGGGUAUAAGUCCCGCGGAGGCGCGUCAUUUCUUUCCCAAGACCGAGCAGACACGCGCGACCAAGCUAUAG
Molecule: ribosomal RNA, 471 nt
Filed under: Triticum aestivum (bread wheat)
Lineage: Eukaryota; Viridiplantae; Streptophyta; Magnoliopsida; Poales; Poaceae
Description: partial small subunit ribosomal RNA
Source: RNAcentral